GAAAUGCGAUAAGUAGUGUGAAUUGCAGAAUUUAGCGAAUCAUCGAAUCUUUGAACGCACAUUGCGCCCCUUGGUAUUCCAUGGGGCAUGCCUGUUCGAGCGUCAUUUCAACCCUCAAGCACUGCUUGGUGUUGGGCGUUUGUCCCGCCUACACGCGUGGACUCGCCUCAAAGUCAUUGGCAGCUGUUCCCCUUCGGCUCGUAAGCGCAGCACAGUCGGCGCCUGGAGCUCUGGUGGGAUGGCGUCCAGCAAGCUAUAUUUUCAGGCUUGACCUCGGAUCAGGUAGGGAUACCCGCUGAACUUAAGC
RNAcentral lists this unclassified non-coding RNA (307 nucleotides) under plant metagenome. RNAcentral's name for it is "partial contains 5.8S ribosomal RNA, internal transcribed spacer 2, and large subunit ribosomal RNA". The stretch from base 1 to 105 matches the Rfam family "5.8S ribosomal RNA", at positions 50 to 154 of the family's 154-position model. The record is from RNAcentral.